UCCUCUUUACAGAGGCAGUUCGUUCCGAGUCCCCGACUUUACUCGCUGGUAACAGAACGUGAGGGUUGCGCUCGUUGCGGGACUUAACCCAACAUUUCACAACACGAGCUGACGACAGCCAUGCACCACCUGUGCAACACCCUCGAAGGAGCGAUGUUUCCACCGUUUGCAGUUGCAUGUCAAGCCCUGGUAAGGUUCUUCGCGUUGCAUCGAAUUAAGCCACAUGCUCCACCGCUUGUGCGGGCCCCCGCCAAUUCCUUUGAGUUUCAACCUUGCGGCCGUAGUCCCCAGGCGGUUCACUUAAUGCGUUAGCUGCGGCACCGAAGGAAACCCCCGACACCUAGUGAACAUCGUUUAUGGCCAAGACUAC
This 370-nucleotide unclassified non-coding RNA is filed under the name uncultured bacterium. Its description in RNAcentral is "contains 16S-23S intergenic spacer region". The record is from RNAcentral.